RNAcentral lists this long non-coding RNA (2162 nucleotides) under Phasianus colchicus (ring-necked pheasant). RNAcentral's name for it is "lncRNA (ENSPCLG00000013627.1)". Lineage: Eukaryota; Metazoa; Chordata; Aves; Galliformes; Phasianidae. The record is from RNAcentral.
GUCCCGUAUUCCCCCUAAUAGCAGCACCUGGGUCCCGUAUUUCCCCUAAUAGCAGCACCUUUUAUGCUGUAUUUCUUCUAAAAGCAGCUCUGGGUCCACGAUUCCCCCCUAAUUGAAGCACAUGGGUCCCGUAUUUCCCCAAAGAGCAGCACCUGGGUGCCAUAUUUUCCCUAAUAGCAGCACUUGGGUCCCAUAUUUCCCCUAAUAGCAGCACCUGUGUCCCGUAUUUCUGCUAAUAGCAGCACCUGAGUGCCAUAUUUUCUCUAAUAGCAGCACCUGGGUCCUAUAUCUGUCAUAAUAGCAGCGCCUGGGUCCCAUAUUUCUCCUAAUAGCAGCAUCUGGGUCCUAUAUUUCUCCUAAUAGCAGCACCUGAGUGCUGUAUUUCCCCUAAUAGCAGCACCUGGGUCCCAUAUUUCCCCUAAUAGCAGCACCUCAGUCGAGUAUUCUUCCUAAUAGCAGCACUUUUUGUACCGUAUUUCCCCUAAUAGCAGCACCUGGGUCCCAUAUAACCUCUAAUAGUAGCACCUAAGUUCUAUAUUCCUUCUAAUAGUGGAAUUUAAUGCCGUAUUUUUCCUAAUAGCAGCACCCUGAGUCCCGUAAUUCCCCCCAAUAGCAGCGCCUGGGUGCCGUAUUGUUCCUAAUAGCAGCGCCUGGGCCCAGUAUUCCCCCUAAUAGCAGCGCACAGCUCCCUUAUUUUCUCUAAUAGCAGCUCCCGGAUCCCGUAUUUCUCCUAAUAGCGGCACCUCGUGCCGUAUUCCCCCUAAUAGCAGCACCUCCUGUUCUAGCAGUGCCACCUGGGUCCCGUAUUCUCCCUAAUAGCAGCACCCAGGCGCCGUAUUUCUCCUAAUAGCAGCACUUGAGGCCCUUAUUAUGUUUAAUAGCAGCUGUUGCACCCCUUACUCCCAUCAACAGCAGCUUUUACUGCGCCGUAUUCUCCCUAAUAGCAGCGCCCACCUCUGCAUUCCUCCUGAUAGCGGCGCCCCUCUACCAUAUUCCCCCUAAUAGCAGCCCUGCUUAUACCGUAUUUCCCCCUAAUAGCAGCACCUCCUACACCCCCCACUGCCCCUCACAGCGCCCCCUCAGCGCCGUAUUCUUCCUAAUAGCAGCGCCCAUGCCCUGCAGUCUUCCUCAUAGCAGAACCCCAGCCCCGUAUUUCCCAUAAUAGGAGCACCGCUGUACCGUAUUUCCCCCAAUAGCGGCGCCUGUGUGCCGUAUUCCCUUGAAUAGCUGUACCUGGGUGCUGUAUUUUUUCUAAUAGCUGCACCCACAUCCCGUAAUGCUCCUAAUAGCAGCGCCUUGCAUGCCGUAUUUCCCCUAAUAGCAGCACUCCGAUCUCUUAUUUCCCCUAAUAGCAGUGUCUGGGUCCCAUAUUCUCCCUAAUAGCAGCACCUGGGCCCCAGGCUUUCUAUUGGUAUUAUUCAUACCGUAUUUCUCCUAGUAGCAGCGCCUGUGCCCCCCCCAUUUCCCACUAAGCAACCCUCCCGGGUGCCGUAUUCCUCCUAAUAGCAGCUCCUGGCUUCCACACGUUUUCUACUAGCAGUAGAAUCUGUACCGUAUUGCUCCUAAUAGCAGCGCCAGGGCCUCAUAUUUAUGAUAUUUAUCCUAAGAGUAGCACCUGUGUCCCGUAUUCCUCCUAAUAGCAGCACCCAGUCCCAUAUUCCCCCUAAUAUCAGCACCCUUUGUACCGUAUUCUUCCUAAUAGCUGCACCUUUUCCAUCCCGUAUUUCCUAAUGUCCCCCCCAAUGCCGUAUUCCUCCGAAUAGCAGCACCCAUGCCCCGUAUUUCCCAUAAUAGCAGCACGGCCCGUGCCGUAUUGCUCCUAAUAGCAGCACCCCUGUUUCCCCCAUCCCCCCCUUAAGCACCCCCACGAGUGCCGUAUUCCUCCUAAUAGCAGCACCCAGCUCCCGUAGUAUUUUAACACCCCUGUUUGUACCGUACGUCUCCUAAUAGCAGCGCCUGCGCCCCUCAUUCCCCCUAAGCAGCCCCCAGAGUGCCGUAUUCCUCCUAAUAGCAGCGCCGGCCUUCCUUAGCACCUCUAAUAGCAGUUCUGUCUUUACUGUAUUCCUUCUAAUAGCAGCACUGUUGUCUUGUAGCAUCUUAGCAUCCCUAAUAGCAGUUCUGCUUGUACCGUAUUUCUUAUAAUAGCAGCACCAGCGUUCCUU